Molecule: ribosomal RNA, 253 nt
Filed under: uncultured bacterium
Lineage: Bacteria
Description: partial 16S ribosomal RNA
Rfam family: Bacterial small subunit ribosomal RNA
Source: RNAcentral
UACGAAGGGGGCUAGCGUUGCUCGGAAUCACUGGGCGUAAAGGGCGCGUAGGCGGCCUGACAAGUCGGGGGUGAAAGCCUGUGGCUCAACCACAGAAUUGCCUUCGAUACUGUAGAGCUUGAGACCGGAAGAGGUAAGUGGAACUGCGAGUGUAGAGGUGAAAUUCGUAGAUAUUCGCAAGAACACCAGUGGCGAAGGCGGCUUACUGGUCCGGUUCUGACGCUGAGGCGCGAAAGCGUGGGGAGCAAACAGG